AGCAGCCGCGGUAAUUCCAGCUCCAAUAGCGUAUAUUAAAGUUGUUGCAGUUAAAAAGCUCGUAGUUGAAUUUCGGGAUCAAUAUAUCGGUCGUGCCAUUGGUACGUACUGGUAUCAUUGGUUUCUCCUUUCUGACGAACCAUGAUGUCAUUAAUUUGGUGUUAUGGGAAGUUAGGACUGUUACUUUGAAAAAAUUAGAGUGUUUAAAGCAGGCUUUAGCUUGAAUACAUUAGCAUGGAAUAAUGAAAUAGGACGUUCGAACCUAUUUUGUUGGUUUCUAGGAUCAACGCAAUGAUUAAUAGGGAUAGUUGGGGGCAUUAGUAUUCAAUUGUCAGAGGUGAAAUUCUUGGAUUUAUUGAAGACUAACUACUGCGAAAGCAUUUGCCAAGGAUGUUUUCAUUAAUCAAGAACGAAAGUUAGGGGAUCGAAGACGAUCAGANACCGUCGUAGUCUUAACCAUAAACUAUGCCGACUAGGGAUCGGAUGAUGUUAAUUUUUUAAUGACUCAUUCGGCGCC
This 517-nucleotide ribosomal RNA is filed under the name uncultured Glomus. Its description in RNAcentral is "SSU rRNA". It matches the Rfam family "Eukaryotic small subunit ribosomal RNA", at positions 569 to 1087 of the family's 1831-position model. The record is from RNAcentral. Lineage: Eukaryota; Fungi; Glomeromycota; Glomeromycetes; Glomerales; Glomeraceae.